RNAcentral lists this ribosomal RNA (140 nucleotides) under Pleurotus cystidiosus. RNAcentral describes it as "partial large subunit ribosomal RNA". It matches the Rfam family "Eukaryotic small subunit ribosomal RNA", at positions 1334 to 1490 of the family's 1831-position model. Lineage: Eukaryota; Fungi; Basidiomycota; Agaricomycetes; Agaricales; Pleurotaceae. The record is from RNAcentral.
AACGAGACCUUAACCUGCUAAAUAGCCAGGCCGGCUUUCGCUGGUCGCCGGCUUCUUAGAGGGACUGUCAGCGUCUAGCUGACGGAAGUUUGAGGCAAUAACAGGUCUGUGAUGCCCUUAGAUGUUCUGGGCCGCCCCCG